GGGCAUGUGACGCAGCGGUUAGCGUGUUCGCUUUGCAUUUAGCUUGCGAGAAGUCAAGGGUUCAAAUCCCUUCUUGUCCA
Serendipita sp. 399 is the source of this 80-nucleotide non-coding RNA. The record is from the annotation of a GenBank genome assembly. NCBI's taxonomy places the organism in Eukaryota, Fungi, Basidiomycota, Agaricomycetes, Sebacinales, Serendipitaceae.